AAUAAACGCUGGCGGCGUGCCUAACACAUGCAAGUCGAGCGAGAAAGUUCCUUCGGGAGCAAGUAAAGCGGCGGACGGGUGAGUAACGCGUGAGAAUUUACCCUUUAGCGAGGAAUACCUCUGAGAAAUCAGGGCUAAUACUGCAUAAGUCCCUACGGGGAGAAAGGUGGCCUAUUUGCUGCCGCUAAAGGAUAAGCUUGCGGGCUAUUAGCUAGUUGGUGAGGUAAAGGCUCACCAAGGCGAUGAUGGCUAGCCGGCCUGAGAGGGUGUACGGCCACACUGGAACUUAGACACGGUCCAGACUCCUACGGGAGGCAGCAGUGAGGAAUAUUGCGCAAUGGGCGAAAGCCUGACGCAGCGACGCCGCGUGGAGGAUGAAGGUCUUCGGAUUGUAAACUUCUGUUAAGUGGGAAGGAAGAUUUAUCCCUAAUAUGGAUAAAGGAUGACGGUACCAUUAGAGAAAGCACCGGCUAACUUCGUGCCAGCAGCCGCGGUAAU
RNAcentral lists this ribosomal RNA (498 nucleotides) under uncultured bacterium. RNAcentral describes it as "bacterial SSU rRNA". It matches the Rfam family "Bacterial small subunit ribosomal RNA", at positions 29 to 524 of the family's 1533-position model. The record is from RNAcentral.